This is a long non-coding RNA of Podarcis muralis (Common wall lizard), 218 nucleotides long. RefSeq lists it as uncharacterized. The record is from RefSeq and is a predicted model, not a curated record. Lineage: Eukaryota; Metazoa; Chordata; Lepidosauria; Squamata; Lacertidae.
GCUUCAGGAACAGCCGCCGCCGCCUCUUGAGGCGCUGAAUGGGAACAAUGGGAGCGCCCGCCCAAAGACCUCGCCGCCCGCUCAGUCAGUCCUGGUGUGCUGAGGAAAGUCAACAGCAUCUCCAAGUAUUCGAACCGAUAUCGUCUCAAGUGCCUCCGAGUCUAUCGUUAUACAUCAACAUCCAUGAAUAAAUAACUUUAUUGGAGUUUAGAUGGCCA